Long non-coding RNA from Ostrinia nubilalis (European corn borer), 212 nucleotides. RefSeq lists it as uncharacterized. The transcript has 2 exons. NCBI's taxonomy places the organism in Eukaryota, Metazoa, Arthropoda, Insecta, Lepidoptera, Crambidae. The record is from RefSeq and is a predicted model, not a curated record.
GUCUCCGCCAUACAUCUAUCGCGAAAAUCAGUGAAAACGUGUGUGUUUUGUGGGAUUACUUUUUCGUAACAGGAAGUAAAAUCAGCGAUUUUAUAUAGAACGGAAUGCCGCCAAAAACCAAUGCCGAAAGGCAAAAAGCUUACAGAGAACGACUCAAAAUGGAUAAACAUGAUGGAACAAAAAUAAUUUUAUUAAAAUAGUAUGAAUGAUUA